UUAAUUGGGGAGAGUGGUUUAGCAAAAACUCUUAACUUCAGCAAGCUGUUAUACCUCUUGCUUGCCUUAAAAUAUUGUGGUAUGUGGAGAAGUCCAAUUGUAAUUUUGUGUUUCUCUAAUGUUCAUAUUUUAACUCGUAAGCGCAUCUUUUAUAGCACAAAGUUUACAAGCGUACAUUAAAGCUUCUAGUUAAUCAUGACAUGCUCAUAUUUUCUAAUGUCUCAUGAAACAUUGCCAGAUCAAUGAACUAUUUGUGCUUUUCACUUCUCGUUACUCUCUUUUCCAUAAUAUUCUCUUGCCUUCAAGCAAUUUCAUGUUAUUAAGCAUAUCAUAUAGCUGAUGCACUAGUUAGGAAGAACUGUUCCCUUGCAUAAUUGCAUAUUUCUCUUUUCUGAAGCCAUCCUUUUGUCAUUGAAUAGAUUCUCAACAGCUUACUGAAACUUGCAUUGUGAAAAACAUAUCAAUUUAUGUUGAAGUGAUCCUUAAGCUCUUCCUUUAUGUUCUACAUAUCUAUUAUUUUAUGCAUACUAAAAAGUGAAAGAUAGGAGCAUGAGCACCCAAACCCAUAUCAGAAAAGCCUUGGCUUAGCCAUAACGAGAUCAAUCACUCAGUCUUCGCUACAGAAGAUGCCUCUAAGCUGGAGCUUGAAACUAA
Molecule: long non-coding RNA, 654 nt
Filed under: Phoenix dactylifera (date palm)
Lineage: Eukaryota; Viridiplantae; Streptophyta; Magnoliopsida; Arecales; Arecaceae
Description: long non-coding RNA (PDAC_LNC019794)
Source: RNAcentral